Molecule: transfer RNA, 69 nt
Filed under: Rattus norvegicus (Norway rat)
Lineage: Eukaryota; Metazoa; Chordata; Mammalia; Rodentia; Muridae
Rfam family: tRNA
About the family: Transfer RNA (tRNA) molecules are approximately 80 nucleotides in length. Their secondary structure includes four short double-helical elements and three loops (D, anti-codon, and T loops).
Source: Rfam by way of RNAcentral
GGGGAUUUGGCUCAGUGGUAGAGCGCUUGCCUAGGAAGCGCAAGGCCCUGGGUUCGUUCCCCAGCUCCG